This 421-nucleotide unclassified non-coding RNA is filed under the name Coussarea ilheotica. RNAcentral's name for it is "partial external transcribed spacer". The record is from RNAcentral. Lineage: Eukaryota; Viridiplantae; Streptophyta; Magnoliopsida; Gentianales; Rubiaceae.
GCAGGAUCAACCAGGUAGCAUUCCUCACGGACAUCGGGUAGCAAGGCGCCUGACACGCCAGUGCAACACCGAGUGUCGUUCGGUCAAAGCGCGUUCAGCGCUAGUUCCGAGCAGAUAGGGUUCGAAACCCAUUGCCCCCAUCGUAUUCUGCUUUCCCGAGGUCGGGCAGGCAAUCGAGGGCUGCGACACUGCACGACGUGUGAGUGCCGCAGAACGCGAUCGUCGCCUAGGGGUUCACCCGGAGCCGCACCGCACAAACGGGUAGCACCGAGGCAAACGGUAUAUAUUUCGACAAAUGAAUUCCAUCAGUAAGGUAUGCAACACAGGAAACCGUAAAAGGUGGACGAGGCUAAUGUCGCUCUCGCACCAAAGAUUGAAGAGAAACGCACGGGAGGAUGUCGCUGCCCCAAGCAGGGAUCCA